Molecule: ribosomal RNA, 253 nt
Filed under: uncultured bacterium
Lineage: Bacteria
Description: partial 16S ribosomal RNA
Rfam family: Bacterial small subunit ribosomal RNA
Source: RNAcentral
GACAGAGGUGCCGAGCGUUAGGCGGAAUCACUGGGCUUAAAGCGUGUGUAGGCGGAUCGUUAAGUAUCUUGUGAAAUCCCCCGGCUCAACCGGGGAAUGGCUGGAUAUACUGGCGGUCUUGAGCGAUCUAGGGGCAGAUGGAACAAGUGGUGGAGCGGUGAAAUGCGUAGAUAUCACUUGGAACGCCAAAGGUGAAAACAGUCUGCUGGGGAUCUGCUGACGCUGAGACACGAAAGCCAGGGGAGCGAACGGG